UACGUAGGGACCAAGCGUUGUUCGGAUUUACUGGGCGUAAAGGGCGCGUAGGCGGCGUGUCAAGUCAAUUGUGAAAUCUCCGGGCUUAACUCGGAACGGUCAAUUGAUACUGAUGUGCUAGAGUACAGAAGGGGCAAUCGGAAUUCUUGGUGUAGCGGUGAAAUGCGUAGAUAUCAAGAGGAACACCUGAGGUGAAGACGGGUUGCUGGGCUGAUACUGACGCUGAGGCGCGAAAGCUAGGGUAGCAAACGGGAUUAGAAACCCCCGUAGUCC
This 273-nucleotide ribosomal RNA is filed under the name uncultured bacterium. Its description in RNAcentral is "partial 16S ribosomal RNA". It matches the Rfam family "Bacterial small subunit ribosomal RNA", at positions 524 to 796 of the family's 1533-position model. The record is from RNAcentral.